This 4054-nucleotide long non-coding RNA is filed under the name Sus scrofa (pig). Its description in RNAcentral is "lncRNA (ENSSSCG00000057524.1)". Lineage: Eukaryota; Metazoa; Chordata; Mammalia; Artiodactyla; Suidae. The record is from RNAcentral.
UUUUUUUUUUUUUUUGUCUUUUGUCUUUUGUCUUUUUAGGGCUGCACCUGAGGCAUAUGGAGGUUCCCAGGCUAGGGGUCUAAUUGGAGCUGUAGCUGCCAGCCUACACCACAACCAUAGCCACAGCCACGUGGGAUCCAAGCUGCAUCUGCCACCUAUACCACAUGGGAUCCCUAACACACUGAGCAAGGCAACAUGGGAUCCCUAACACAUUGAGCAAGGCCAGGGAUUGAACCUGCAUCCUCAUGGAUACUGGUCGGGUUUGUUAACCACUGAGCCACAACAGGAACUCUCAACUGGUAAAAGAGAAAAAAAAAUCCAGAAUAUAGUGAAUGGCGAAAUAUGUUGAUAUUUGGUUUUUAGAGCAAUUGUGAAAUAGAAGGAAAAUGCAGUUGUUGGAAUAAUUCAGGUCAAGUCCAAUAAAGGAGAGAGACUAAAGAAAAGGAAAAUGGUGAAGAAUGAAUGGAGAAAGGUGAGGAAGAAAGCAUAUGAAAUAUUGGUUUUGAUUUUCAGAAAAUGAAGGGUGAUGACAAAACAACCUAAGGUCACAUGGAAAGGGUAUGAAUCAGGAAAAUUCAUCCUGCUUUGGAAAGUCAUGACUCUGAGUGACUAAUGAAUAAUUUAGAAGGUGAUACUUGGAGUUUGAUUUGUGCCUGCAGAGUUCAAACUGAAAAGCUAGAAAGAAUGAAAAACCUUAAGACAGAAUUCAGAUCUCUUGUUGGAACUGUUGUUCCACGGAAGCGGAUAAAUGGAAAUCAUGCACAGUUUCAUCUUAUAAUACCCACUAGGGAUCUCUCACCUUUUUGGAAGCUUGAGGGAAGCCCCUGUACACAGUUAUCAAGAAGUAUGUGGUGGAUACAGACACAUGUUCAGAGUGGCCUAUCCACUAGUUCCAUGGUCUGUCUGAUGAAAGAUUCUCAUUAAAUGGAAGAGCUAUUUCUCCUCAGGAGAGUCACCAAAAGGAGAGAAAGAAAGAAAGAAAGUGUCCCCUUGGGUUGAGAAAGGAAUCCAAAUCCCCUGGUCACUGGGUUUGAGGCAGCAACAUGAUGAGAAGGGAGAGCUCUUUUGAUACUGAUUUCUUUUCAAGCCUUGAAAAGCUCUUGAAGCUGAUUAGAGAAAAGUCACAUCAGUGGUCUUCACAGCCUACACCCUGAAGGUUUGGGUGAUCCCUUUGUUGAGGGGUCUAGGAUCCUGGGUGUGCAAGUCUACCUUUUUAGGACAUAUAUACUGUCCCAUGAAGAGGGAAAACGGCUGGGAAAGUGUAUUAGUUAGCGAUCUUCAGAGAAGCAGAACCAAUAGGAGAAAUAGAACCAGCAGAAUACAUACAUACAGAGUUCUCUUGUGGCGCAGUGGCUUAAGAACCUGACAUUGUCGCUGCAGCAGCUCAGGUGGCUGCUAAGACAUGGGUUCAAUCCCUGGCCUGGGAACUUCCAAACACUGUGCAUGUGGCCAAGAAAAAUAAAAAAAGGAAAAAACGCACACACACACAUACAUACAUGCACAUAUACAUAAUACAUACUUACAUAUAAGCUCGGGCGAUUGUGAGAGUUGGAAAAUCUAAAAUCUUCAGGGUAGGCCAGCAGGCUGGAACUUCUAGCAGGAGUUGAUGUUGUAGUCUUGAGUCUGAAAGGUAGUGUGGAGGCAGAAUUCCUUCCUCUUCAGGGCACCCAGUCCCUCUGAAUGCAUUCAGCUGAUUGGAUGAGGACCAUCUACACUAUGGAGGGCAAUAUGCUUUAUUCAAGGGCUACUGAUUUAAAUGUUAAUCUAAAUAAUACUUUAAUGCAACAUAUAUCUUGUCCUUUCAGGUGUUUGAGGUCUUCUCCUGGUGUUCAGUAGGUGUUCUGUGAACAUCGUUCCAUUUGUAGAUGUGUUCUCGAUGGAAAGAGGUGAACUCCACGUUCUCCUAUUCUGCCACCUUGAUUCCCCUCCCCUCCUAGUGACAUCUGACUGCUGUGUACCAUGGACUAGUCAAAUUGCCACAUAAAAUUAACCGAUGCAGGAAGGAAGGAAAGAUGCUGUCUCUCAAAUUCCUCCUCUUCUUUUUCUCUUCUGCAGCAGCUAAGCAGGAUAUGAAUCUUCAGUGGUGGUGUUGGUGGUAGUGGGUCAGGGUAGUGCCUCAGGCGGUGUUCGUGUUCAGGGCUAGGCAUUGGUGGCUGCAGAGAAGGAGUGGGACCAGAAAGUGUAACAGCACAACAGGGAGCCAUACAGAACCUGUGAUGAAGAGGAGAGGGUCUGUCACACACCCACCACGGAGAGGAGGUGAAACAAGAGCAUGGGUGGGUGGGUGUAGAGGCUGGGCAGAGUUAGAGCAUCAGAAAUAAACUAGGUGGGAUCCUCUGAGAUGCUGAUCUGGGCUCUGAUUCUCUCCAUGGUGGUCCUGGCCCCAGAGACACACGUCUUGUGGCAGGCCAGAGGAUUUUCAUAAGGCUUCUUUAAAGUGCUCCAAUUAAAAGGUUUUGAAAAUAUCCAUGGGCAGUGCAUUCAUGCCACUCCAGAACCUUAGCCUCCUUACUCAGCUGUGAUGUACUGAGACGGAAUUUUGAGCCACAACAAUGGGAUCAACUGAUUUUGUUGUUAAGUAGCUUCUAAGAGCAUUUUGAAGUCUCAAAAAUGCCACAGAGGAAAAGCUCUUCUAAUCCCCUUCUCCCCUUUCCGGCUUCCCCUCUCUGCUGGCUGCAGAAAUAGAUUAACAUUUGUUAUACCUCCAUUGUAAGCAGUCAAGCAAGCAAUCGGCAUUUUAUCUUUGGUAUUUGAUUGAAGGUAGAAGACAUUUUUCAUUUAUAUUUUUGCCUGAAGGGAAAGGGGAAGCAGAUAAAGAGAAGAAAAGGCAUUGCUAUGAUGUACUUCUCCUGUAUGUAAAAGUUAUAAUAUAAUGUCGUUGUCUAGCCUUUUUCAAUUUGAUGAAUAUUCCUCCAUUAUCUGACAAAACACUCAGUGCUGGAAUAUGGUUACUUGAUAUGUAAGGGAACAUUGCAGUGGUAAUAAAGUUGUGUCAAAUAUCCUCUAAAAUGUUUAUAAGUUUGUCCUCAAGCUUUACUUUUACCUUUAAUAGAAUAAUUUGGAUUUAUGCAUUUGCUAUUCUAGAAUUCACUUUGAAAAAUGACUUGGAUUACAAGUUAACAAUUAAGAGAGACUGCAAUGAAUUUAUUCCAGGUUACAAUAUAGAUGCAAAUCUUUAUUAUUCCAAUACUAAAGACAAUCAAAAACAAGUGCAUUGUACUGAAGAAUGAUAAUAAAAUAAAUAGAAGUUUAUGCACAAGUAAAAACCUCUCCUAGAAAACUCAGGUAUACCAAGUACAAAUGAGUAUUAGCUAUACUACAAUGUAGUAAUAAUGACAUAUAUAUCUAGAGCCUUAGAUUUUUUUUUUUUAGGUUAUACUGUUUUAUUAAUAUAUACAGGUAAUUGAUUAACAAUUUUGUUAACCCUUGUUAUUAUAAAACAUCAGGAUAAUUAUUUUAACAUCAUUUUCACGAGAUUCGCUUGGUAUUUAUUGCAGAGGACCAGUAGCUUGUUGUAUAAACACAUAUCGAGACCACAAAGAGUACCACUACCUACUCACCAGAAUCAGUAUGGAGCAGUAGAUACUCAUGUAUUGCUAACUGGGGUAUAAAUGUUACAACUACUUUAUAAAACUGUCAGUUUCUUCAUUUUUAAAAAAAAUAUUGAAGUGUGGUUGACUUACAAGAUUAUAUUAGUUUCAGAUAUACAACAUAGUAAUGUGAUAUUUUUAUACAUUAUACUCUGUGAAAAGAUAUAUGCACCCUGAUAUUCAUGGCAGCAUUACUUACAAUAAAAAGCCAAGACAGGAGUUCCCUUCGUGGCGCAGUGGUUAACGAAUCCGACUAGGAACCAUGAGAUUGCGGGUUUGGUCCCUGCCCUUGCUCAGUGGGUUAACGAUCCGGCAUUGCCGUGAGCUGUGGUGUAGGUUGCAGACGCAGCUCGGAUCCCGCGUUGCUGUGGCUCUGGCGUAGGCCAGUGGCUACAGCUCCGAUCGGACCCCUAGCCUGGGAACCUCCAUAUGCCGUGGGAGUGGCCCAAAGAAAUAGCAAAAAG